RNAcentral lists this unclassified non-coding RNA (322 nucleotides) under Pocillopora damicornis (cauliflower coral). Its description in RNAcentral is "serine/arginine repetitive matrix protein 2-like, transcript variant X1". Lineage: Eukaryota; Metazoa; Cnidaria; Anthozoa; Scleractinia; Pocilloporidae. The record is from RNAcentral.
AAGUGAAAUUUGUCGCGGAAACUACUCAUUUGCAUAACUCGUCUAUUUGUCAGCAUGCAUUCAGCGAAAUUUUUCAGUGAGCCUGCUGUUAUUUACGAGCUGAUCUAAGUCACGGAGAUCGGCUGCGAAAUUUUGUUGUGAAAUCGUGAAGAUCGUUCGGCACUUCCGCGGUAAGCUUUAGUCUCCCCGAACCAUCGAGCAGAGCACGGAACGCGUCCGCCAUCUUUGGUGCCAGCCCCAGCUUUGGAAUAUCACCUGUACCCCAGAUUCAGUUUAGACCAGCCCCGCCCAAAAGAGUUCCUGAACCAAAGAAAGUCCGAAG